RNAcentral lists this ribosomal RNA (433 nucleotides) under uncultured bacterium. RNAcentral describes it as "partial 16S ribosomal RNA". It matches the Rfam family "Bacterial small subunit ribosomal RNA", at positions 29 to 507 of the family's 1533-position model. The record is from RNAcentral.
AACGAACGCUGGCGGCAUGCCUAACCAAUGCAAGUCGAACGACACCUUCGGGGCUUGCUGCUCAGGGGUGAGUAACGCGUGGGAACCUGCCCUUAGGUUCGGAAUAACUUACCGAAAGGGUUGCUAAUACAGGCUAAUGUCAUCGGAGCAAAGAUUUAUCGCCCUUGGGUGGGACCGCGUUGGAUUGGUCUGUUGGUAGGGUAAAAGCAUACCAAGGCGACGUUCCAUAGCUGGUCUGAGAGGAUGAUAAGCCACACUGGGAGUGUGACACGGCCCAGACUCCUACGCAGGGGAGCAGUGGGGGAUAUUGCACAAUGGGCGAAGGCCUGAUCCAGCAAUGCCGCGUAAGUGAUGAAGUCCGUAGGGUUGUUAUGCGCUUGUACCCGGGAUGAUAAUGACAGUACCGGGAGAAUAAGCCCCGGCUAACUCCGUG